GACGAACGCUGGCGGCGUGCUUAACACAUGCAAGUCGAGCGGUAAGGCCCUUCGGGUACACGAGCGGCGAACGGGUGAGUAACACGUGGGUAACCUGCCCUCAGCUCUGGGAUAAGCCCGGGAAACUGGGUCUAAUACCGGAUAUCACCUUGGGAGGCAUCUUCCGGGGUUGAAAGUUUUUGGCGGCUGAGGAUGGGCCCGCGGCCUAUCAGCUUGUUGGUGGGGUAGUGGCCUACCAAGGCGACGACGGGUAGCCGGCCUGAGAGGGCGACCGGCCACACUGGGACUGAGACACGGCCCAGACUCCUACGGGAGGCAGCAGUGGGGAAUAUUGCACAAUGGGGCGAAAGCCUGAUGCAGCGACGCCGCGUGAGGGAUGACGGCCU
Molecule: ribosomal RNA, 386 nt
Filed under: uncultured bacterium
Lineage: Bacteria
Description: bacterial SSU rRNA
Rfam family: Bacterial small subunit ribosomal RNA
Source: RNAcentral